CCUACGGGAGGCAGCAGUGAGGAAUAUUGGUCAAUGGACGAGAGUCUGAACCAGCCAAGUAGCGUGAAGGAUGACUGCCCUAUGGGUUGUAAACUUCUUUUAUAUGGGAAUAAAAUGUUCCACGUGUGGGAUUUUGUAUGUACCAUAUGAAUAAGGAUCGGCUAACUCCGUGCCAGCAGCCGCGGUAAUACGGAGGAUCCGAGCGUUAUCCGGUGUUAUUGGGUUUAAAGGGAGCGUAGGUGGAUUGUUAAGUCAGUUGUGAAAGUUUGCGGCUCAACCGUAAAAUUGCAGUUGAAACUGGCAGUCUUGAGUACAGUAGAGGUGGGCGGAAUUCGUGGUGUAGCGGUGAAAUGCUUAGAUAUCACGAAGAACUCCGAUUGCGAAGGCAGUUCACUGGACUGCAACUGACACUGAGGCUCGAAAGUGUGGGUAUCAAACAGGAUUAGAUACCCCAGUAGUC
This 460-nucleotide ribosomal RNA is filed under the name uncultured bacterium. RNAcentral describes it as "partial 16S ribosomal RNA". It matches the Rfam family "Bacterial small subunit ribosomal RNA", at positions 338 to 795 of the family's 1533-position model. The record is from RNAcentral.